UGUUGUUUCCCUUCAGUGAUGGAGAGCUCUCCUCUGUUUUCUUCACCUCCAUCCUGCAAGCUGCUAUACUUCUUAAAAGACUUGAUGCCCUGCCUUUGGGUGGUAAUUUACCUCGUAAAAGUUCAGAUGUCUCCUUUUAUAUACAAUUUGUUCAAAAUUCUCGUGAAUGUAGGCACCUUUGACCCACCUUUGGUGUUUUAGAGGCUACGGAUUUUUUUUCUGCCAAAAAUGUUUUAAUUUAUGUGUUUAUUAUUACCAUAGGAGCUGCUGGGCAUGACACAAGGUGCUGCUUUAUCCAAAUACAGCAACAGUCCAGAAAAUUUCCGAUGAAGUAUGAGGUUCAAGCCAACGGGAAGCUACGUGUAGACAAAGCAGCACAAUAAGACUGCGUCCUCACUGGCCCAAUCCAAGCUCUUGUUGACUGGUAGCAGAUGUCCUCACUCUUCACCUUGAGCCGACAUCUUGUUCAAUCAGAUAAGGAAACAUAUCUGGGUCAUGAAACUCAUCAAAAACAUUUGGUUUACGGUGCCAACCUUUACCUUUACAGCAGCUGUUGUGAAUUCAGAGGAGGUUUGAAAUCCCACAAACACCGGCUUUCAAGUAGUGGUUUCAAAUCCAAGAACAAUUCCCCGACUGAUUCAUCAAACCAGCUCAAGGGUGGAAGAUCACAAGCAAAAGAUGAAGAGCAAGUGGCCAGCCCAGCCUAAACCAUGACAGAUGGCAGAAGCAGAACCUGAUGAUCACACGGGUGCCUUAGACUUUAGAAGAUCCCUCCUGAAAGGAUCCAGAAGACGUGGUGAGAAAAUAGUCA
This 811-nucleotide long non-coding RNA is filed under the name Calidris pugnax (ruff). RNAcentral's name for it is "lncRNA (ENSCPUG00000012438.1)". The record is from RNAcentral. Lineage: Eukaryota; Metazoa; Chordata; Aves; Charadriiformes; Scolopacidae.